UAGGGAAUCUUCGGCAAUGGACGACAGUCUGCCCGAGCAACGCCGCGUGAGUGAAGAAGGUUUUCGGAUCGUAAAACUCUGUUGUUAGAGAAGAACAAGGACGUUAGUAACUGAACGUCCCCUGACGGUAUCUAACCAGAAAGCCACGGCUAACUACGUGCCAGCAGCCGCGGUAAUACGUAGGUGGCAAGCGUUGUCCGGAUUUAUUGGGCGUAAAGCGAGCGCAGGCGGUUUCUUAAGUCUGAUGUGAAAGCCCCCGGCACAACCGGGGAGGGUCAUUGGAAACUGGGAGACUUGGGUGCAGAAGAGGAGAGUGUAAUUCCAUGUGUAGCGGUGAGAUGCGUAGUUAUAUGGAGGAACACCAGUGGCGAAGGCGGCUCGCUGGUCUGUAACUGACGCUGAGGCUCGAAAGCGUGGGGAGCAAACAGG
This 429-nucleotide ribosomal RNA is filed under the name Gemmatimonadota bacterium. Its description in RNAcentral is "Gemmatimonadetes bacterium partial 16S ribosomal RNA". It matches the Rfam family "Bacterial small subunit ribosomal RNA", at positions 355 to 776 of the family's 1533-position model. The record is from RNAcentral. Lineage: Bacteria; Pseudomonadati; Gemmatimonadota.